UGCAAGUCGACGAUGAAGCCAGCUUGCUGGUGGAUUAGUGGCGAACGGGUGAGUAACACGUGAGUAACCUGCCCUUAACUCUGGGAUAAGCCUGGGAAACUGGGUCUAAUACCGGAUAUGACUCCUCAUCGCAUGGUGGGGGGUGGAAAGCUUUUUGUGGUUUUGGAUGGACUCGCGGCCUAUCAGCUUGUUGGUGAGGUAAUGGCUUACCAAGGCGACGACGGGUAGCCGGCCUGAGAGGGUGACCGGCCACACUGGGACUGAGACACGGCCCAGACUCCUACGGGAGGCAGCAGUGGGGAAUAUUGCACAAUGGGCGAAAGCCUGAUGCAGCGACGCCGCGUGAGGGAUGACGGCCUUCGGGUUGUAAACCUCUUUCAGUAGGGAAGAAGCGAAAGUGACGGUACCUGCAGAAGAAGCGCCGGCUAACUACGUGCCAGCAGCCGCGGUAAUACGUAGGGCGCAAGCGUUAUCCGGAAUUAUUGGGCGUAAAGAGCUCGUAGGCGGUUUGUCGCGUCUGCCGUGAAAGUCCGGGGCUCAACUCCGGAUCUGCGGUGGGUACGGGCAGACUAGAGUGAUGUAGGGGAGACUGGAAUUCCUGGUGUAGCGGUGAAAUGCGCAGAUUUCAGGAGGAACACCGAUGGCGAAGGCAGGUCUCUGGGCAUUAACUGACGCUGAGGAGCGAAAGCAUGGGGAGCGAA
Molecule: ribosomal RNA, 701 nt
Filed under: Arthrobacter pascens
Lineage: Bacteria; Bacillati; Actinomycetota; Actinomycetes; Micrococcales; Micrococcaceae
Description: bacterial SSU rRNA
Rfam family: Bacterial small subunit ribosomal RNA
Source: RNAcentral